This 629-nucleotide long non-coding RNA is filed under the name Mytilus galloprovincialis (Mediterranean mussel). The record is from RNAcentral. Lineage: Eukaryota; Metazoa; Mollusca; Bivalvia; Mytilida; Mytilidae.
AACAUUUUGUAAUUGGGAAUUGUUUGAUGUUUAUGUAGUUUGUUUUUAACUAUUGUAUACUCCAUGCAUUUAGACAUGACUUCUUUUUGUAUAAAUACUUGUUAGCUGGUGACCUUAUAAUUUUGAUUCAUGUAAGUUUAAUCUCUAAUUGAAGUAUAUCUCGCAUCUCGUUUUAAGGAAAAAUGUAUUCACAAAAAUUCUGAACUCCAAGGUAAAUUCAAAGAGUGGAACCAAUGUACGGACAAAACUAAAAAAAAAAAAAACAAUUUUCCUGCCUUGGUAAACAAUUUUACAGUUAGGAGCUAGCUAAACAGCCUACUUGUAUGAUAGUUGAAUAUAGUUCUGUUACAGAACUUGAUAAUUGUCUUUAAAUCUGUAAUAAUUUGCCAACCUUCCCUCUAAAACCAAUUCGAUGACAUGCAUGCAAGCCUGCUCCCUAGAUCUAAUCAAUUUAAAAAAAACUCAUUUUGAUUUACUAUGAAUAAUGAAUCAUAAUAAUUCUAAUAUGUUUUAUCUGAAUGUUAAUCUUUUAAUUAUAACAUCAACUACAAAAAAUGUAUCCCUGUUCAUAAAUUGCAUUAUUUCAAAAGAUUUAAAAAAUACAAAUGAAGGUAAAUCAUGAUAACAAA